This 253-nucleotide ribosomal RNA is filed under the name uncultured bacterium. RNAcentral's name for it is "partial 16S ribosomal RNA". It matches the Rfam family "Bacterial small subunit ribosomal RNA", at positions 524 to 776 of the family's 1533-position model. The record is from RNAcentral.
UACGGGGGGGGCAAGCGUUGUUCGGAAUUACUGGGCGUAAAGGGUUUGUAGGUGGCUGGCUAAGUCACACGUGAAAUCCCUCAGCUUAACUGGGGAACUGCGUGUGAGACUGGCGAGCUUGAGGGCAGGAGAGGAACGCGGAAUUCCAGGUGUAGCGGUGAAAUGCGUAGAUAUCUGGAGGAACACCGGUGGCGAAGGCGGCGUUCUGGACUGCAUCUGACACUGAGAAACGAAAGCCAGGGGAGCAAACGGG